RNAcentral lists this ribosomal RNA (440 nucleotides) under uncultured bacterium. RNAcentral's name for it is "partial 16S ribosomal RNA". It matches the Rfam family "Bacterial small subunit ribosomal RNA", at positions 338 to 795 of the family's 1533-position model. The record is from RNAcentral.
CCUACGGGAGGCAGCAGUGGGGGAUAUUGCACAAUGGGGGAAACCCUGAUGCAGCGACGCCGCGUGGGUGAAGAAGCGCCUCGGCGCGUAAAGCCCUGUCAGUAGGGAAGCAAAUGACGGUACCUGAAGAAGAAGCACCGGCUAACUACGUGCCAGCAGCCGCGGUAAUACGUAGGGGGCAAGCGUGAUCCGGAUUUACUGGGUGUAAAUGGGGCGCAGGCGGCGAUGCAAGCCAGGAGUGAAAGCCCGGGGCCCAACCCCGGGACUGGUCUUGGAACUGCGUGGCUAGAGUGCAGGAGGGGCAGGCGGAAUUCCUGGUGUAGCGGUGAAAUGCGUAGAUAUCAGGAGGAACACCGGUGGCGAAGGCGGCCUGCUGGACUGCAACUGACGUUGAGGCCCGAAAGCGUGGGGAGCAAACAGGAUUAGAUACCCUUGUAGUC